GUCGAGACGGUCAGGUGCAGGCGCCGGCUCGUGUACGGCAUGUUGGCUUUCACGACGUCCAUGUCCAGUUCGACGCCGAGCCCCGGUUC
RNAcentral lists this transfer RNA (89 nucleotides) under Paraburkholderia caffeinitolerans. Its description in RNAcentral is "tRNA-Thr". The record is from RNAcentral. Lineage: Bacteria; Pseudomonadati; Pseudomonadota; Betaproteobacteria; Burkholderiales; Burkholderiaceae.